Long non-coding RNA from Chelonia mydas (Green sea turtle), 2625 nucleotides. RefSeq lists it as uncharacterized. The record is from RefSeq and is a predicted model, not a curated record. The transcript is spliced from 3 exons. NCBI's taxonomy places the organism in Eukaryota, Metazoa, Chordata, Testudines, Cheloniidae.
AGUUGCUACUUGGAGCAGAAGAAGAAGGACUGUAGGAGCAGCAGGGCCAAGGAUGGUUUGCUAGCAGAGACUAGGGGAGCAUUGAGGAAGCUCCUGGCUGGUUGCAAAGACUGAGUGGGGACUGAGCCUGGGGAGGGCUGCCGGAAGAUAGUGUCUCCAGGGAGAAAGGCCUGGGGAUACAGCCCCAUACCAGGGGUGGACUACUACCACCAAAGGGAUGCUGAGAUAGGCCCUGGUGGACUGUAUAACCUAGAAGGGGUUUGUGCUGGUUAACAGGAAGACAGUGUAACUUGGCCGGAGUACUGUGUCACUGACAAACCCAACUGAGGACCAUCGAAAGGGGUCACCAGAACUAAAGAAUGCAGACAUGCCCAACCAGAAGGGGGCACUCAUGAGAGAGAAUCCAGAAUGGUAGUUUUCAGAAACCCUUCCUUCAUUACUGCUUCUUCACUGGAAACAGGCUGCACCUGGAGGAGAAGCCAGGCAGAUGGGAAUUGACUGGAAGGAGGCUCAACUGGACAGGAACAGGAGGAACAUCAUACCCCUACUCCUGAAUGCAUGUUUGGUUGUAUUUGUUACUGAGCAGCUGUAUGGGUGUACACAGGAUUCCAAGAAGAGGGAAGCCAAAGCCAAACUAACAACAACAAAUGCCCCCUUUAGGAAGGCCUCCAAGCCAAGCCUUGCUAGCAGAGUUCUUAGUUCCCCUAUCGUUCUAGGAGGUAAACUGGCUUUCUCCCUUUCCCUUAGUCAUCGGGGUUAGGGGAGAAGCCAUUUAACCCAGUUCAUAAAGCCUUUACCUCAAAGCCUUCAAUCAGAGCAACCCAACUUAUACACAGAAAAAUAAAGCAUCUUGUGCUCAGGUCAGGCUAGUGGUCUGGGGCCUGUAACAGCCAGCGUUGUUCCUAGCCCCAGCAUUGUUCUCUCUUGCUCAGCUUCCUUUUCUUGUUCAUAUAGCCCAGCCCCAAGGACAGGGCAAGGUGUUCUUUGACUUUUUCCCCUUUUUUGUCUUGGUUGUAAGUAUCAGACUAUCCCUUAAAGAGGUAGUACGCCCCAACACAGGAUAUUUAAAAAUCCCUUGGGUUUGGUGUCAUGUGGUUUAGAGUGCUUUAGCACCCAGACACAAUGGUCACUGGUACACUAGAAAUAUAUCUAGAGAUGUGUAGUGAGAUUAGCAGGCUGACUUUCAAAAGCACUGAGCUUCUGCAGCUAUUAUUGACUUUAAUGGAGGGGAGAAUAUCAGACAUUCAGCAGCUCUGAGAACUGGGCUUUAAAUGUUAGUCGAGAUAUGUUUGUUAGCACCACCACCCACUGCACUGUCAAACUGUAAUUGCUAACACUGUAAAUACUUUUGACACUGAGUGCACCUCUUCUUCCCUUUUGAUCUUUUCCAGAUAGCUGUGCUGACACUCCAUUUGAGAAUUAACCCACCAAGGCUUAGUAAUGCUCACUAAGUAAGCCAUAAUUCCCAUCAUCUAAUAUAUCUAGGUUGUCUUGCUUGUUUUGCAUCCGUACAGACCAUGCUAGAGGUUAAACUCACCUACUCUUCUUAUUCUCCUUCAUCUUUUAUUUCAGAACAACCCUAUUUUCCACCUUAUUUUGUAUGUUGCAAGUACUUAUACGAUCGUUUGAGUUAACAAAACUUUCCCCUCUCUUCUGCUCCUACUGAUUUAAAGCAUAAUUAAAGAGGUCUGAAAGGUUUGCACCUAGGAGGUUGAUGCCCCUUCUGCUAAAGUGAAGAUUAUUUAACCCAAAUAGGCUCUCAUCAUGGCAAAUCCCAAUGGGACGUAACCUCCUGGCAGAUUGAGCACCACCCACAUCGAUCUCUAGCUAGGCCCUUAAAGCUAUCAUCACAGAAACCAUUCUAAUGAUCCAUGAAUCCAAAACCCUCCUCUCUUACCCUAAUCAAGAUUUCAAAUGUGGGGCAUGAUUCUUCCUUGCAGCCCACAUCUGCUCUUCUACCUUCUCCCAACAUCUGUCCAUGCAAUAUUCCAAACUUCUUUAUGAAGCCAGAAAGUUAGCCAAAAUUGUUUUUAUCUAAAAUGUGGGAAUAUGAGUGGCAUAUCAUGGCAUUUCUGAGGAGCAAAAUUUGAUGCUAGUUGAACUAUACAAUAUCUGGAUUAAAAUAUGCCAGGUUCAUGAAGACUAAAUUGUAUUAUAUAGAAAACUUAUUGAAAUAAAUGAAAUGCUUAAAUAAAUGAAAGAUAAGGCCAAACACACUAGCUUAUCAGCCUUACUUAUGAAAUGCCCAUGAACUUAACUGAGGGUAGGCAUAUUAACAACAAUGUUGUUCAGGAAAGUGGUUUUUGAAUAGUGGGCCAUCUGGUGAUUUGAUAAAAGUAUUUAGUUUCUCAAGGCAAUCUGAGUGUAUACUCCCUAGGCGCCACCGUUUAUAGACUAAAUUUGACUUGCAUGUGGAUUCAGCAUUACAAAUAAGAAACAGCAGCCGUUGGACAUGUACACUAAUGUAGUCCUUUCAUCACCCAGUUACCCUUAAGCAUCUCCUUUCCUAUUGUAAUUUAGGUUAAAUGCAAAGCAUUAGUCCCAUCAAUAAAAACUAAUGGUUAUACUUAAAAAAAGAGGCUUAUUUAAAAUAAAGCAGAUAAAUAGCUUGCUUUUCCCCUCCCU